RNAcentral lists this small RNA (107 nucleotides) under Marmota monax (woodchuck). The record is from RNAcentral. Lineage: Eukaryota; Metazoa; Chordata; Mammalia; Rodentia; Sciuridae.
GCUAGGCAUAUUGGCACAUGCCUGUAAUCCCAGUGACUCAGGAGGCUGAGGCAAGAGGAUUACAAGUUCCAGACCAGCCUCAGCAUCUUAGUGAGACCCUAUCUCAA